GACGAACGCUGGCGGCGUGCCUAAUACAUGCAAGUCGAACGCUGAAGGGGGAGCUUGCUUCUCUGGAUGAGUUCCGCACGGGUGAGUAUCGCGUAGGUAACCUCCCUGGUAGCGGGGGAUAACUAUUGGAAACGCUAGCUAUUACCGCAUAAUAGUAGAUGUUGCACGACAUUUGCUUAAAAAGUGCAAUUGCAUCACUACCAGAUGGACCUGCGUUGUAUUAGCUAGUUGGUGGGGUAACGGCUCACCAAGGCGACGAUACAUAGCCGACCUGAGAGGGUGAUCGGCCACACUGGGACUGGGACACGGCCCAGACUCCUACGGGAGGCAGCAGUAGGGAAUCUUCGGCAAUGGACGGAAGUCUGACCGAGCAACGCCGCGUGAGUGAAGAAGGGUUUCGGAUCGUAAAGCUCUGUUGUUAGAGAAGAACGAGUGUGAGAGUGGAAAGUUCACACUGUGACGGUAUCUUACCAGAAAGAGACGGCUAACUACGUG
This 495-nucleotide ribosomal RNA is filed under the name uncultured bacterium. RNAcentral describes it as "partial 16S ribosomal RNA". It matches the Rfam family "Bacterial small subunit ribosomal RNA", at positions 28 to 507 of the family's 1533-position model. The record is from RNAcentral.